This 497-nucleotide ribosomal RNA is filed under the name uncultured bacterium. Its description in RNAcentral is "partial 16S ribosomal RNA". It matches the Rfam family "Bacterial small subunit ribosomal RNA", at positions 28 to 507 of the family's 1533-position model. The record is from RNAcentral.
GAUGAACGCUGGCGGCGUGCCUAAUACAUGCAAGUCGAGCGAACAGACGAGGAGCUUGCUCCUCUGACGUUAGCGGCGGACGGGUGAGUAACACGUGGAUAACCUACCUAUAAGACUGGGAUAACUUCGGGAAACCGGAGCUAAUACCGGAUAAUAUAUUGAACCGCAUGGUUCAAUAGUGAAAGACGGUUUUGCUGUCACUUAUAGAUGGAUCCGCGCCGCAUUAGCUAGUUGGUAAGGUAACGGCUUACCAAGGCAACGAUGCGUAGCCGACCUGAGAGGGUGAUCGGCCACACUGGAACUGGGACACGGUCCAGACUCCUACGGGAGGCAGCAGUAGGGACUCUUCCGCAAUGGGCGAAAGCCUGACGGAGCAACGCCGCGUGAGUGAUGAAGGUCUUCGGAUCGUACGACUCUGUUAUUAGGGAAGAACAAAUGUGUAAGUAACUAUGCACGUCUUGACGGUACCUAAUCAGAAAGCCACGGCUAACUACGUG